AAUUGGCAUGAGUGAUGAAUCAAUUAGAUGUGUGAAGUGACCUUAUGAGCUGAAACUUUGAGGCAUAAUUUCCAUCGGAUAUGCCAAUU
Phragmites australis (common reed) is the source of this 89-nucleotide small nucleolar RNA. RefSeq annotates it as small nucleolar RNA Z266. The record is from RefSeq and is a predicted model, not a curated record. NCBI's taxonomy places the organism in Eukaryota, Viridiplantae, Streptophyta, Magnoliopsida, Poales, Poaceae. The transcript has a single exon.